GCGGGAGUUUCGCCGGGUCGUGACUGUCACUACCGCUGUUGUGUGUGUUUCAGGUAUGGCUACUGCAUUUAGGUGCUCUCAUUGAUUGGGUCAAGGGUCAAAGCAAGAUGGCCGCCCUAAUACAGAUGUGUGGACAUUGAUCUAGCCAUAUCUAGCAGGCUUCUCGAUUGGAUAAGGCCUGCAAAUGCAUUAAAUGACAGUCGACAUGACUUCAAGCUUGAUAGAUCGGAAUACAAUCUAUCCAGCAUCCACAACUUGAUUCUGGAACUCCUCGCAUAAGCAAACAAAUGGUUACCUGGUUCUGGGAAGCCUUCCAUGCCUGAUGGAGAGUUUAUCAGCACAUACAAGGAUUUCUUGCAAGGCGCUGACACACUGUGAUAAGGCUAUCACAUCGGCUGCUAGCUGGAGGGCUGCCGACGUUGCUGGGAAGUCUAAUCAGCCACUUCUACACUUGCUGAUCCACCGCUGGACACAAGCGAUGAAGGGGUGAAGAUGCUUGUCACGGUGAGCAUGCCAUUUUGGUAAGCUGAGGGAAACGAAAGUCUGAUACAUCAACAAAACACAUUCUACAUCAUAAAGGUAAGUCUUUUUUUGUUAUUAUUAUAUAUGUUUGUUUCUGGAAAUGUUUAGACAUGGCUCACUUUAUUAAAGGGAUACAAGAGUGGAUUUGUGUGCCCCCCUCAAAAAAAUAAAAAAAAACAAAAUGAAUGCCAGUAGUCUAAAAUCAGAUAUACUGGAAUUUAUUUUCAUAAAGCUGUUUAUCUUUCCAAGUGUUAGUAGAUCUUGGAAAGCAUUCCUCGAGCAACGACUGUAUGUGACAGUCCCUGUUACAACACUGCCCCCUUGUGACUGGAUGAUCAACUUUGUGGGCAGUGCUGUAACACUAUGAGCUUCCCAACUGUGUGUGUUUAUGAGAAUUCACCAAAGAGUUAGGUUGCUCAAUUUAGGAAUGACCUAGUUGAUACAAAUCAAAAUCAACGCAAACUCAGAUCAUGACAGCAGCUUGGUUACUAUUUUUUUCUUCUAACUGUCUAAAUGUCCGGUGGCUCUCUUUAAGUGUGUGGUGUGGGUCAUCUGCUUCGGGCUUGAGGCAUCUUGCUUGGCAUGUGAGGCCGAUGUUGGAAAACUCGCCUCUCCUGAGCGAUGAUACGCACUUUAGCAUGGCACCCACCCCGAUUCAGAUACAGCAAAUCCAUCUCCGACCAGUCGGUUCCUGGUUUUUAGCUUUGUUUGAAUCUCUUUAUGCAACAUUGAUGUGAUUAUUUCCCCUCAAAAGGCCACAUUUGUCGUCCAUUAUCUCCAGAAGGAAUUGGAAUUGAAUCUUCUCCUUCUUUCUCCUCCUCUUGGGUCAUGUUGUCAUGACAACCGAGAUGAGGUAAACGUUAUGGCAAACCAUCACUUUUCUUGCUGUCUGACGCUCAGUCCACAGCGCAAUGAAGGUCGGGGUAUUGUAGAGAAAAGAUGAAGACACAUGGAAAAGGGAAUAGAGAGGAGUCACUGGCAGCGGGGUCUCUCGGGAUCCCCUUUUGCUGUUCUGAUACCGGUGCUGAGAUCUUGGCAGUGACACGGUGAUGACAGGAAGGCCUCAGUGGAUGAGGGAAGUCCAGUGUGGCGUCACCUGAUCAAGAAAAUGUCUGCGAGCAGAAGAAAUGCAAAUUAGAACAGUUCUCACGUUUUGGAUUUGAUGCUCUCCCCCCCCCCCACCACCACCAGAUAUAUUUUGGCAAGAUGUACCUUUUGUUCCCCACUGCUUGGUGGUAGCAAGGUUGCCUUCCAAUGGAGAUUACCAACAGCAUCGUAGUUGACCUGAUGUCCAAAUUUUUUUUGUGCGAUAAUUUGACACUAAAUAGUAAAAAAUGACAGUUGGUGUCCUCACCAUUCAAGCCCCUCUACAGCCGUCGACAUGCUAGAAAGGUUUAAAUCACUCUGAGAAACAUCCGUCCAUACUUGAUUUCAAGACUGUGGACAGAAACCGUAAUACCCGGUGAAAACGCAAAAGUAACACCAAAGCACCAGAGCACCUUUUUGACCCACCCCCCACCCUCGUAACACCAAACCACGUCUGCUAAC
Molecule: long non-coding RNA, 2070 nt
Organism: Syngnathus typhle (broad-nosed pipefish)
Lineage: Eukaryota; Metazoa; Chordata; Actinopteri; Syngnathiformes; Syngnathidae
Exons: 4
Source: RefSeq, a predicted model, not a curated record